This 303-nucleotide ribosomal RNA is filed under the name uncultured bacterium. RNAcentral describes it as "partial 16S ribosomal RNA". It matches the Rfam family "Bacterial small subunit ribosomal RNA", at positions 507 to 807 of the family's 1533-position model. The record is from RNAcentral.
AGCAGUCGCCACGGUAAUACGUAGGUGGCAAGCGUUGUCCGGAAUUAUUGGGCGUAAAGGGCUCGCAGGUGGUUUCUUAAGUCUGAUGUGAAAGCCCCCGGCUCAACCGGGGAGGGUCAUUGGAAACUGGGUAACUUGAGUGCAGAAGAGGAGAGUGGAAUUCCACGUGUAGCGGUGAAAUGCGUAGAUAUAUGGAGGAACACCGGUGGCGAAAGCGGCUCUCUGGUCUGUAACUGACGCUGAGGCUCGAAAGCGUGGGGAGCAAACAGGAUUAGAUACCCCGGUAGUCCCUGUCUCUUAUAC